GAUGAAGAACGUAGCGAAAUGCGAUAAGUAAUGCGAAUUGCAGAAUUCCAGUGAGUCAUCGAAUCUUUGAACGCACAUUGCGCCCUUUGGUAUUCCGAAGGGCAUGCCUGUUCGAGCGUCAUUAUCACCCCUCAAGCCCUCGGCUUGGUGUUGGACGGUUUGGUGGAGGCCCCCUCGGGGGCUCCUGCCCCUCCCAAAGACAAUGACGGCGGCCUCGUUGGACCCCCGGUACACUGAGUUCUUCACGGGACACGUAUCGGACACAUGGGUUUACGGGACACGGUCUGCCUCCCCUCAGGGAGAAUCUUUCUAAGGUUGACCUCGGAUCAGGUAGGGAUACCCGCUGAACUUAAGUAUAUCAAUAAGCGGAGGA
Molecule: unclassified non-coding RNA, 373 nt
Filed under: soil metagenome
Description: partial contains 5.8S ribosomal RNA, internal transcribed spacer 2, and large subunit ribosomal RNA
Rfam family: 5.8S ribosomal RNA (bases 1-121)
Source: RNAcentral